RNAcentral lists this ribosomal RNA (497 nucleotides) under uncultured bacterium. RNAcentral describes it as "partial 16S ribosomal RNA". It matches the Rfam family "Bacterial small subunit ribosomal RNA", at positions 28 to 507 of the family's 1533-position model. The record is from RNAcentral.
GAUGAACGCUGGCGGCGUGCCUAAUACAUGCAAGUCGAGCGAACGGACGAGAAGCUUGCUUCUCUGAUGUUAGCGGCGGACGGGUGAGUAACACGUGGAUAACCUACCUAUAAGACUGGGAUAACUUCGGGAAACCGGAGCUAAUACCGGAUAAUAUUUUGAACCGCAUGGUUCAAAAGUGAAAGACGGUCUUGCUGUCACUUAUAGAUGGAUCCGCGCUGCAUUAGCUAGUUGGUAAGGUAACGGCUUACCAAGGCAACGAUGCAUAGCCGACCUGAGGGGGUGAUCGGCCACACUGGAACUGAGACACGGUCCAGACUCCUACGGGAGGCAGCAGUAGGGAACCUUCCGCAAUGGGCGAAAGCCUGACGGAGCAACGCCGCGUGAGUGAUGAAGGUCUUCGGAUCGUAAAACUCUGUUAUUAGGGAAGAACAUAUGUGUAAGUAACUGUGCACAUCUUGACGGUACCUAAUCAGAAAGCCACGGCUAACUACGUG